AGUAGCAACAAUUUGUCUCCCUGUAUAUAUCUCGGAAAAAUGGAUCUAUGCUCUUCUCCAGUUAGUGAUGUAUUAUCACUGUUUUGAAGUAACACAUUGUUAGGGUUUUUCUUUAUUUUAUGGAGAAGAUGCAUUUGUCUCAGAAAUUUUUCAGUGGAGCUAUCAAUACACGAAAUAAAUUGUCUGUUGUUAGAUCUGAACUGCAUAUCUGUAGAUAAUAUAUUUUUGUACUCUGUUGUGCUCUAGCAAGCAUCAUGGCUGAAUCAUAAUGAACAUUUGAUUCCUCUAUCAAAAACACAUACAAACACACUUACACACACAAAUUUCACUCUGCCUUCCCUGUCUUUGACAGCACAAAGUUUAAAUAACUGGAGGAAUUUAUAAAGCAGUUAUAUAAAAUCCAUAGCCAGACCAUUAAGAAUUCAAAUAUCUAAGCCAUUAAGAGACUGAAAAUAGCCAGGCAGCAUAAAUUUUGUAAAUGCUCCAUUUUCUUUGCUUCCCUUGCAUUUAGAAAGAAUUCCUGAAGAAAUGCCCCCUGCAUCUGCUUUACCCCACCUGCAAGGCACACUUGCAAAUUCUUUCAAUGUGUACAUCAUUACCGGAGACUAAAUUUUCAUAUACCCAUGCCAGUCUCUUCCCUACUCCCCUUACUGCUUCCUUGUUCUUAUUUAGGUAAGAAGUCACACCCAGCUGGUGGAGGACUACUUCUCUGAUGCUCUUUCUUACGAAGAAUGGUUGGAAGUAGUGGGAAAUAUCCAGAUUAUCACACAUUUUUUCUUCCCAUUUUGGAAAGGAAUCCUUUCUUUCCUUCAGAGAAAAAGGCAGCGAUAUUGAAGUUUCCACAAAGAGAGUUUGUCCCUUGAGUGUUUUUACAGGCAUUUGUGCUGAAGAGAUGUUAAGAAGAGCAGCAUUUCACAUGAAAUAUAUUCCUGUUGCUCGGGAUUCUGCUUCUUGAUGCUUGUGACGUUGCAACUCCCCAAGUUUCUCAGCCCUCUGAGGAACCCUGCAGCAGAAAUAAGGAAGCCAGAACUUAAUAUCUCUCAUUUUUAAAAAAAACCAGAAGCAACAGCACUUCAAGGUUUGUCUUUAUUUGCAACAAAGAAUGGUGUAGAGGCUUGCUUUGGGACCACUGAUAUAUCA
Molecule: long non-coding RNA, 1140 nt
Filed under: Apteryx owenii (little spotted kiwi)
Lineage: Eukaryota; Metazoa; Chordata; Aves; Apterygiformes; Apterygidae
Description: lncRNA (ENSAOWG00000014788.1)
Source: RNAcentral